Molecule: ribosomal RNA, 301 nt
Filed under: uncultured bacterium
Lineage: Bacteria
Description: partial 16S ribosomal RNA
Rfam family: Bacterial small subunit ribosomal RNA
Source: RNAcentral
CAGUAGCCGCGGGAAUACGUAGGGUGCAAGCGUUAAUCGGAAUUACUGGGCGUAAAGCGUGCGCAGGCGGUUAUAUAAGUCAGAUGUGAAAUCCCCGGGCUCAACCUGGGAACUGCAUUUGAGACUGUAUGGCUAGAGUGUGUCAGAGGGGGGUAGAAUUCCACGUGUAGCAGUGAAAUGCGUAGAUAUGUGGAGGAAUACCGAUGGCGAAGGCAGCCCCCUGGGAUAACACUGACGCUCAUGCACGAAAGCGUGGGGAGCAAACAGGAUUAGAUACCCGCGUAGUCCCUGUCUCUUAUAC